UCUUGUUUAGGAGUUUGGGAAGAUCCGGUGUUUGAUUUUUCUCCACUAAUAACAGAAGGUUGAUAAACUGAUUGAUCAUUAUUUCUUUCUACACCCUUUUCUUGAAAAAGAUUCGACCUUUUUAUUGACCAUAAUUUAAUCAAAAACCAGAAGACUGUAAUAAUAUAUUAAACAACAUAUUAGGAAAAAGAAAAAAAAGUCAAAUAAAUAAAUAACAUAAUUUAUACAAAAUAUUUACCAGAGGUAUUUUGUGUAAGGAGCCGAGAGGAAGAUAAUUUAUAAUUUGUUACUCUCUGCUCUUAAUGUAACACUCCUAUACGCGACCCAAGUACCAAGUCGAAUAUAGGAAUGUCACAUUUAAGAGUCGUAGUAAUCCUGGUUAAAUUCAAUUAUUUGAAUUCUUUUGAACAUGCCAUUAGUUUCAAAUUUAUAAAAUUAACACAAUUAUCAACAUUUUACAAAUAAGUUCUUUAAAGGAUUUAACCUAGCAAUAGUUUAUCCUCUUUACAUGUCAUUAUUAUUAUUAUUAUUAACAUUUACCAAUCAAUUGGUCAAUUAGGGCCUCAUUAAUUUAUUUUAUAUCUAUCACUUACUUAAUAUUUCAAUAAAACAUUUGCACUUCCUUUAUGUAUUAGUAAAUCCAUCCUUUGUAGCAAUUUCUUAAUAUUGUAAUUCUUCAAUUAUUUUCCUCCUCCUCUCCACCCCACAUCAUUUAUGUACAUAUGUAUAUAUGAACCUUUGAUUUUGAAUAUAGUAUGCUUAUAAGCAAUGCUUAUUAUGAUUUCAUUAACUACACAUUUUUAGCAACGCUCUCCACUUGAGUAGCAGUCACUAAAUUAUUUAUAUCUUGGCCUACAGAACUCGAAUUUAAGAUCCACUUUUUAUUUUUGAAACUAGACUCGAUAAAAUUUUUACCAUAAAAAAUUAAUUUUUACUUAAUCCUAUUAAUACAUUUUAUUCUUCAAAUCUUUCCCUAUUCAACUGCUAGGCAGCUCUGACCCUUCUUCACUAAAAAUCUAUUAUCUUUCAGUACACAUCUCGUAUUAAGUUACCGUUUGUUUCUGUUGAAAAUAUACUAAUUAUUUUUUUUAAUAUAAAUUACAUAUCCUAAAUAUUUUUUUUGUAAAUUUCAUAAUAAUUUUUCAAAAUUAGAACAAGGGACCCCGAAAUUAUUUUGACAUUGUCUCACAAAAAUUGUUAUAUCUCAUAAUCUAAAAUUUCAUUGGUUAUACUGUUUCUUCUAUGUGAAACUAGAAUCAAUAAGAUCCAAUUCUAUACCUGAUUCAACCUCUAAUUCAAUUUCUAUAAUGUUUAGUGAAUUUUCAAAGUUGAACCACUGAUAUUGUCCAUAAAUUGUUUAAUGUAACACUUUGCUUUUCCAAGAUUUGAUUAAAUAUUUUCUUCUCAUUUCAUCAUUUAUACUCAUUAUUCAUGACCAUACCCCAUUUAUUAAACAUAUAGAGACAUUUAACAUCAAUUUAAAGAUAACUUUGAUGAGCUCAAUGAGACACUUACCUAUUUUCUUCCCUUGAACUCAACCUUCCUCUUCAAUCCAAGAUUUUCUUCAUCUAUCUCUUUGUUUUUCUCCUACUGCACUUUCUCUUCACUUUGCCAAGUUUUUCCUUCACUUUCCUCUUCAACUAAUUGAUUUUCUUGGUAGAAGACAACCUUAUAACACUCUAGGAUAUGAAAUAGGCUUUGGUUUUUAGGUAGAACUCAAAAGAAAAUUCAUGGAAGAUUUUCUCUUUCUUUAUUUUCUUCACCCCCUUUCUUUCUUUCCUUUCUUUCUCUUUUUAUUUUUGCUGUCUAGUUGCUAUCGGUCCCACCUUUCUCCCGUCUAGAAAUAUCUAUACUUUUCUUUUAUUUCAUUUUUAGUCCUAUUUCUAUAAAUUUUCCCUUCGUAAGCCUUAUUUUCAUAAAUUUCCCCCUUUUUCUUCACACCUCAUCACUUGGGUAUUCUAACUUCAUGAUUAUAUCUCAAAAUAUCAUUUAAUAAUGGAGAGUUUGCACUUAGGUUCUUCACCCACAAUUUAGAAAAAUUAUAAUUUAGUCCUUACAUUUUUCCACUUUAUUCAAUUUAGGCCAUGUUUCGAUUUCUUUAUAUAUCAAUGUCUCCAUGUCAAAUUUAUUAAAAAAUAUUUAUUAAAUUUCUACCCAUUUUCUUAAAAUGGUAAUUUCAACUUUUGGCCCCUUAACUUUUUCAUACUUAUAUUUUGUUAUUUUAAGUUUAAAUAUUUACAUUAGGCCACAAUACUAUUCAUAGUUUAUGAUUUAAUCCCUAACUCAAAUUAACAUUGUAACGGGCUAAAUCCGCUCGGGCCCAACAACCAAAGAAUAAUCCCAAAACAAAAAAUAAUAUAUAGUCCAUUAAAUGUCUAUUUACAGACUUUGGCCCAAUACAUACCCUGGACCCAAUAACUAAAACCCCACGGCCCAAGGACUGACCCAAAACCCGAAAUGAGCCCAAAUGGCCCAGAAAUUUUAGAAACCCUAGGGUUCCUUUCUUUCUCCUGCGCCGCAACAGCAACCUCCCUAUGCCUUCGCCUCUGUACUCCUCACGCCAAGCACCAACAUGACCCCCAUACACGAACGCGCACCCGUACCUGCAAGAAGGAAACAAAAACAACAGCGAAUAGAAACAAAGACAUAUUGUAUAUUUUCGGUUUAUUUUUCUUUUCUUUCGGCUAUACAAGCCCAACUUUUAGUCUUUCUAAAGGUUAAGAACGCACAUUUACGCAUACAGAUAUUGAAUACAAAGCAAGAAAAAUAGAGGAAGGUGAUUUUCCUUUCUUUGAAUCUCCGGAUUUGUUGCGAUUUUUCUCUUGAUCUAUUCCUUUCGACUUUAUUUUUUUCAUUUUUCGCAUCUAAAACAACAAAAAUAAAAGAAAAGAGUGAAACGAAACCUUACCUCGCAAAUCUACUGUUGGUUCUUCCUUGCCUCGUCGAAGUCGAAGGUGGAGGAGGAAUCUUGAGGUCGAAAAUCGUCUUCAAAAGGCGAAAAUACGCCUGUGGUUGGGGACGAUGGGGGUGAGGGCCAAAUGAUUUGGCUAAAGGUCAGCUAAAAAAACAAAAUGGGGGCUAGGGUUUUGAAAUGGUUGAAUAGCCAAAUUUAGGGUCUUUUAAAGGUCUGAAUACGGCGUCGUUAUGGGCCUGAUUCAGUGGCUCCAAAAACGGCGUUGUUUAGAUGUUGGAGCUCCGCGCGUCGACCCGUCCCAAGACCCGGAUCCGCGCCUCUGUGCCUCGAAUGGGGAAUUUGCAAUAUCAGUCCUUCCUUUUGUGCGCGCAUUCCAUUGGAAUCCUUAUGUGAUUUUAAUAUUUAAACUUUAUACUUUUAGUUCCAUUUUGAUUUCAAUUUAGUCUUUCCUUUAAUUUCAGCAGUGUAUUUUAUUUAUUAAAUAUCCUUUUAGUUUAUUUUUCAUUUUAAUUGAGUCCUUUUAAUUUGUGUAGUUCAUUAACUUUUUAAUUCGUUUAGCACUUAUUUUAUUUUUAUAUACAUUUUAAAUUACUUUGACAAUUCACUCUUUUUUUUUAUAAAACUAUUAUCUUAAAAUUACUUUGUAUAUCAUGUUGUUGUCAAAAUUUUGUAUAAUAUUUAAUUUAUAUUUAACUUAUAUUAAUACAUAUAUGAUUUAUGAAAAAAUUAGUUUUCUUUUGUACACAUUAUUAGUUUCAUAUUAUUUUACACAUAUAACUUCUUUUAAAUCUGGUUAUUUGUAUUUCCCUUCAAAUUUAUUUCGUAUCUAGUUUAUUCUUUGAAAAAAUAUGUUUUAUUACUUUCUUGUUAUUUAAGAUUAUUUCAUAUAUAUGUAUUGUUAUACUCUAUAUUAAUUUGUCAUUCUGUUAUAUAUGUUUUCAUUUCUUUAUUUUUAUUAUAUCUUCAUUAUAUUGUUUACAUUGUCUUUUCAUUAUUGUAUGUAUAUCAUCACUAUUAAAUAGAUAUGUUUUUUUAAAAUAUUUUUGCAUGUCAUUUGUUCCAAAUCUCUUCUUUCACAAUGUUUAUUGUAAUAUUAUUUAUUAGUUUUAUUUUUAUAUAUGCAAAUCAUUUCAAACCCUUCAUAUGUUGCUCAUUUGUAAUUUUUCAUAUUAAAGAGUUUUCAAAUUGUUUCCAUGUUGUUUUGUAUAUUGUUUAUAUUGUUUUGUUAUAAAUUUGUUUUCAUACUUAUAUAUACGUAAAUGUUUCUUAUAUUAUCAGUUUUGAAUGGUUGAACAUUGUGUUUUUACAUGCAUUGUUGAUCUUCUAUUGUUUUAUGUAUUUUCCUUUAAAUCUAUUUCAUUGUACAUUUCCUUUUAAAUCAAUAUUUCGAUAUAUAUAUACAUAUAUAUUUUUAAGAAAAUUUUUAUAGUUCAUUACACAAGAACAUACUUUAUUAUAUAUUCUUUUGUUAUUUAAGAACCUUUCAUGUUUUGUAUAUUAUUUAAGUUUUCUUUUAUUUUGUAUGAAUAUUGUCAACUUAAGAUAGAUGUAUUAUCUUGCAUGUUAUUCGAUUCAAAAUCUUUUUUAUAUUAAUAAUUAUUUAUAUAGUAUUUUUAUCCAUGUAAAUUAUUUCAAAUUCAAGCAUGUAGUAUUCGUUCAUCGAUUUAUCAUUUUUCAUUGUUUUGGAUCAUAUUAGUUUUAUUUUGUUUGGUACAUUAUAUGGUAAUUGUUUUUAUGUUAUUUCAUGUCUAUUGGUUGCACAUUAUUAAUUUGCCUUCUUAUGUAUUAUCGUAUCAAUCGUUGUUCACCCAUGCAUGUUAUCGUUGCAUUAUUUAUUUGUUCAUUAUUUUAUAUUGCCAUGUUAAUUAUUCUCCAUGCAUGAUUGAGAUUCAGCUAUAUUUCCGAGUUAAUUGUACUUAAUUGAAAAUGUUUGUUAAUUGGUGAAAUAAAUUGUAUCCCCCACCCUUCCAUUGUCGUGUUUUAUGUGUACACUUUUUACCCAAUAUCAUCUCUUUCCGCUUGAUUUUCGAAAUGUGGUUUUAUAAAAUCCAAAUUUUAUGAUUAAUUUCGUCUUAUUUCAAAUCAAAUUAAUGCAUUUUAAGCUAGUUUCACAACUACUAAAAAUUCCUUAAAACGAAGGCAAUACUCGGUGUUUGAUAAUUCGAGAAUCAUGCCUUAUCGUGCUGGGUUGUGAUUUCUCGUUUGUUCAAAACAAUCGAAUAUUCCUUUAGGUUUUCACUCGUGUUUAUUAAAAACCUUCCAAAACGAAUACAAUACUCGGUGUUUGAUAAUUCGGGAAUCGUGCCCUAACGUGUUGGGUUGUGAUUUCUCGUUUUUUCAAAACAAUCGAAGAUUCCUUCGAAAUUUCACUCACGUUUUCAAAAAACCCCUUAAAAUGAAGGCAGUAUUCGUUGCUUGGCAAUUUGGGGAAUAGUACCCUAUCGCGCUGGGUUACAAUUUCCCGUUUGUUCAAACUAAUCGAAUAUCUCUUCGCAAUUUCACUCGUAUUUUCUAAGGUGAGGCAAUGUUCGAUGUUCAGAAAUUUGAGGAAUCGUGCCCUACUGUGCUGGGUUUCGGUUUUCGUUGGACCAAAUAGUUGGGCAUCCUUUUGUUAAUUUCAAAUUAUAAACUUUCGGACAUCGAAACAAGAAGAUUUUUGGCAACCAACUUGGGUUAUUCAAAUAUUAUUAACAAGAACCAUAUUUCAAAAACAUUUUACAUAAGGACAACAUUUAAUCGAUUUGGUACCAAUUUUGGGCGUACUGAGGGUGCUAAUCCUUCCUCAUGCGUAAUCGACUCCCGAACCCGUUUUCUCAAAAGUUCGUAAACCAAAAUUGUUGUUUUAAUAAAUCAAAAAUGUUUUAUUAAAGUAACCAAAUUCUUAGGUGAUCCGAUCACAUCAAAACAAAAGGAUCGGUGGCGUUUUAUUUUCAAACAGUGGAUUCCCCUAUUUUUCGUUAAAAUUAAAAUUUUGAAAGAUGGUUUCGACAGCUUGGCGACUCCACUGGGGACUUGAGAGUCAAGCCAUAAAAUCGAUUGUCUGCUGUCCUUAUGUAAAAUACCGAAAACUUAUUUUAAAAAUCAUGUGUCUUUCAAAUGCAUUUGUUGUAUGGUUGUUAUGAUUCGGAUCUCGUAGAAUAAUACUGCAUUUCAUUGCAUGACCGCUGUGGUCACACCUUCUAAGUGGGAGUAAGAAACUAUGCUUUCGUAAGGUUUUCACCUCCGCAUGGGCUAGUGGAUUACUUCUGGGAUACAUCCGUACCUAUGAUUUCGUGAGAUUUUCAUCUCCGCAUGGUCAUAGGGAAAUGUAUCCCCCUGAACCGAACUCAAUCUAUAUAAGCCUAUAAUGGGUGAGGAUUGAGGAAUCUGCUGGUUCGAGUACCCUUACUCUAGAACCGAGCCACAUAUAGAGAGACCUAGGAGCUUACCCUAGGUAGAGCCACUCCGAACCCCUAGUGAUCACCUGAUUAGGUACUUUGUUGGUUGUUUAUUUCUAUACUAACGUGUUUUUGUUUUUGUUUGUUCAUGACUGCAUUGCAUUACAUCAUCAUAGAAAGGAGGUGUUGAUUCAUAUUCAAUUGCUAAAUAGAACAAUUUGUCAUGAGAAAAUGAAUUUCUUAAUAAUGCGGAUUAUAAUACGGUUGUCCGAAUUUGGUCCAAGUGAACACGACAGAAGAAGGCUAACAGUUCGUGGAGGAAAACAAAACUUUACCUAAGGAUUCAAGCUAAUAAAGAUUAUCCAAAAGCCGUCGCGUCCCAACUUUCUUAAAUGAGCUAAUCAACAUUACGAGGAUAGUAAUUUGUGGCCUGGAUCAAGCAAAAAGGAGCUAGUAGAGGCAUGCAUUAGAAGCUUGCGAGAUUUGACUUUCACGAAGAAAGGGGAUCAGUGCCUUCGUCUGGAAUAUGAAAGCAAGGCCGUAUACGUAAUCCAUUUUAUGAAAAAGAAUUUGUUUUAUAAAAAAAAUUAUUCUAAGGGAAUUGAAUUCAAAAUCGACAUAUUUCUUUCCUUUGCAUUCAUCCCAUGCAUUUGCAUUGCAUUGCAUCUUUUGCAUUGCAUCUUUUACAUUGCAUUGCAUCAUUUGCAUUAGAUUUUCCCAAAACGAUCCUAAUUAGGUAAAAUUAUUUCAGAACCGACAAAAGAUAUAGACCAAAGGUUGAAGUGAAUGGAGCAAAGACAAAUACAGAUGCAGGAGCAAUUGAUCAAAAUUCAACAAGAUAUGCGAGAAAUGCUAAAAUUCCAAAGAAAUAUGAUGGGCCAGUUAACCCAGUUACUGGCCGGAGAAUUUGAAAAAAGGAAUGGCCCAGUGGUCAAUAGUGAGGAUGAUAAUGAAGAGAUCGUUUAUUCCCCAAGUCUUACCCCAAUAAGCGUCCUGACCCAACCAGACAUAUAAGGGGUACCCGUUGUUAUCAGACCCCAAUAUCAGAUAGAUACAUCGACACUGUUGAGCUUCUCGAUGAGUUUAGGUUUUAACUCGGAAGAUGACUGAGCCAAACCAGCUGUUCUGGCAGAAAUGAAGGAAAGGGGAGAGUGGACUUUAAAGGCCCCGAAGAAGAAUGAAAAGAAAGUAAAUAGUACAAGUAGGUAUAAUAAGGGUCGUUCAGAGCCGAUUAUAGUAAGCCAGCCAAGGUCAGUAACUACCAGCCAUCAGGCCUCCUCAAUGCAAGAACCCAAUCGAAGACCGAACUCAGAAUAACCCCAAUACAUGCCCAUUCUAAUCACGUACAGAGAGUUGUACCACGUUCUGUUCGACGCACAUGUUGUAUCCCCUUUUUACAUGAAACCUAUACUGCCCCCAUACCCUAAAUGGUACGAUGCAAGUGGUCAAUGUGAAUACCAUGAGGAAAUCACGGGGCAUUCCAUCGAGAACUGUACCGCUUUUAAAAAGCUAAUCGAAAGAUUUAUUAAAUUGGGUAUCGUGAAAUUCGAUGGUCCCUCUGGAGCAGAAAAUCUGUCAUCGAACCGUUCUGUUAAAGAGGUGGACAUUAUGAGUUCCAUGAUGGAUAGGGGCAUGAGAUCUAAGGGUGCAUCAAGCUCAGGACUCUAAUACAAGACUUGGUAUUGGGGAAUUCGAACACUAAUGACGUAUCAGAAAAAAGAACCAGGGAAUAAACUUUUCCAAGCUUCUGCCCUUACGUACUUGGGGUGUUUUAAACAAUGGGAGUGUGAAAGAGAUUCUUAUAUUUUUAGAGCUAAUCUAGAGUAAUAUUCAAAACACACUUGUUUUUUUAAGCCUAGAAGUAACAAGAAUCCUUUUGUGAAAUAGGCUUGUGUCCAAAAUCUUUAUUUCAAUGAAAUGCAAUUUUGUUAUUAUCUUGAGCAAAUAUUCUUUUAUUCUUUCCAUUUCAUAUUGUACAAAUGAUUAUUCUUAGAUUCUUUCAUUCAUGAUCAUACCAUACAAAUAAUCAUCCUUAGAAUCAUUUAUUCUUUGACCCAGCCUUCAUACCUAUAACAGGUUUACAGAUAUCAAUGAUGUGAGCGACGCUGGCACUAAUUUCGAGUAUCAUUUUGAGCAAGAUAUGUAUCUAAAGGGAUCUCAGGACCUUGAAGAUGAUAGAGAUUGUAGCCUAUCUCCUGAUUUGUCAAGGAUGGUAGAAUAAGAUGAGAAAUAGAUCUUACCUUACAAAGGGGCAAUGGACGUCGCGAACCUGAGAGAAGAGAAAGAGAUAAAAAUUAGAGUGUAUAGCACCACAGAGACAAAGCGAGAUGUCAAGAAUACUGAGAUAUUUUCACAUGAUCGUAUCAAGAUAUGCUUGGGAUACUAAGGUCUGCGGAUGCUAAAAAAGGGUCCAUAUGAAUAUCAGGAGAACACAUGCUAAUGGUCUUACGUUAGCCAGGCUAAUCAUGAGGUUCGAGCGCUGCUGAUCUAACAUGGAAGAGGAUUGUAUCAGUCAAGCUGCGAAUGCCAAAUGAAAGAUUUUAGGCCUCCCCAUUUCUUUCACAAGAUUUUCUAUAUGUGGGGUAUGGAUAUUAUGAGGCUGAUUCCGUCAAAAGCUUCUAAUCGAUACCGAUUCAUCUUUGAGAUUGUUGAUUACUUCAUAGAAUGGGUGAUGUUACUAAGUUGAUAGUCGUCGAACUUAAAAAAAAAGAGGGAGAUUAGGUGCCGAUAAAGAACAUCAGAAAGAUUCAAUGUCAGAAGUUGGCAAUCUGUUCAAAGAUCAAACGCCGUAUCAUGACGCAGAAAAAAUCGUGGAAGAUAAUCGAGGCUUGUAAAGAUUGGCAUAAAGAAGUUACCAUUUACCCUCUAUACUUAUUGAACAUCGGCCAGAACCUUUGCCGGGGCAAUACAUUUUUCGUCUGCUUAAUGGGAUAGAAACGGUUUUGAAAACGAGAGUUUUUUUGGCCAAGUCUUGUCAAAGUUGAAGCUGGAUCAGGCAGAAUAGAUCCAAUCCCGAUAUGGUCAGUUGAAUUUGAAGAAAGGAGGUUGAAAGCCAUCUGUCAUGGCCCAAUGUACCAGAAAUGAAUGAUGUAAGCUUACGUCAGAAAGGUUCAUCCUAGAGAAUCCCACGAGGGGGACCUGGCAUUGAAAAAGAUAAAAACUUCAGAGGAAAGUGAAAGGCCAAGGUGAAAACCUGCAAAAGACACUUUGAGACCUUAAAAAAAAAGAGAAAAUAAGAAAAGAAAAGAAAAGGAGAGGCCAAGGCAAAAACCCGCAAAGGGCGCCUUGAGACCAAAAGGGAUUUGAGUUGAAAACUCAAAAAGGGCGGCUCAAAUUUGAAUCAAGGUGGGGAUACAGUUGUCUUGCUACGCCUGAAUUAACAAUGAAGAAGUAUGCUACGUCUCGGGGCAUCGACAAAGUACUCUGGAUCCCCUAAAUACAUAUUAAGCUCAAAAUGGACCUCAAGAAGUUUGUACAGAGAAGCUCGGGCUGCGAUAUCUGGGGCACCUAGUUUUCAUCUUACCCAUACUGAAUUUACUAUCUUUGAUUACUAUAUUCGUUUCAAAAUAUGGUCCAAAUAAACUUCCUUCUUAUUGCAUUGAUAUCUCUGAUUAACUUAUUCAUGUUGAGUUAAUUGCCUUCUUAUUGCAUUUGCAAUCUUUGAUUAACUUAUUUGUUUCGAGCUGUGCUCUUACCUAAUUUCCUUCUUGUCUAUUGUUUAGAUCUUUCUCGAGCAUUUUGCAUUGAAAUAAAGAUUAAUGGACCAAUAAUACUUUCAUAAAAAGAAGUUCUGCAUAUUAUUCGCGAGGCUUCUAAAUAGUACAAAAACCUAAAACAUGACUGUUGUUUAGAACUCACCAAACCUAAGGGAUGGAAAAGUUUGAGAAAGAAGGAGUCCAAAUUGUGGCUAUCUCUUUGAAUUUUCUAUCAAAGGUAUUGAUUAACGAAAAGGCAAGAUAUUUCGUCGGUGAUACAACCUCGACAAAUGACGAGCAAUGUCAAUCCAAGUAUAAGAGGGGAUCAUUCUCAGGAAAAGAAAAAUAAUAUUCUGCAUUCACGCAAAUAUUAGACAUGCACACAAGGUCAUUACACCUGAAGAAUGAUUGAUCCUAUACCCUGAGUUGCAGUGGGAUGGAUAAGCAAAAACUCCAUAAAGUUUCAGUAGGGCAAGCUUGCCGAGCAGAUUGAGAUUGUUUUCUGUCAAGAAUACCAGCUGAACAAUAUGGCCACAUAAUACGUCAGUGAUAAUGUCUUGAUGAACAGUAAUGAUACCUAGAUCAUUUUCAUUUCCGCAUUCAUAUAUCAUUCAUAACACAUCUAGUUAGGAGCAUUUGAUUCGUGUCGAUUAUAACAUUCUAAUUAUUUGAGAUAAACAUCACAUCUAGUUAGGAACAUUUGAUUCAUUUCGAUCAUAGCAUUCUAAUUAUUUGACAUAAACAUCACAUCUAGUUAGGAACAAUUGAUUCAUGUUAAUCAUAGCAUCCUAAUUAUUUGGCAUAAGCAUAGGCCUAUGAAACAGAAUGUAGAUCUUAUCUCCUUGAAGCUGCAGUGGGGCAAAUUGAAGAUGAUGAAUCUUGGCUUCCUGAAGAUGCAGUGAAGCAUAUUUAAGCAAGUCCUAGCUCCCUAAAGUUGUAGUGGAGUAGGAUGAAGAUUGUAGAUCUUGUCUCCCUGAAGUUGCAGUGGGGCAAAUCAAAGACGACGAAUCUUGGCUUCCUAAAGUUGCAGUGAAGCAGAUUUAAGCUAGUCCUAGCUCCCUAAAAUUGUAGUGGAGUAGGCUGAAUAUUGUAGAUCUUGUCUCCCUGAAGUUACAGUGGGGCAAAUCGAAAAUGACGAAUCUUGGCUUCCUAAAGAUGCAGUGAAGCAGAUUUAAGCAAGUCCUAGUUCCCUAAAGUUGUAGUGGAGUAGGCCGAAGAUUGUAGAUCUUGUCUCCCUGAAGUUGCAGUGGGGCAAAUCGAAGACGACAAAUCUUGGCUUCCUGAAGUUGUAGUGAAGCAAAUUUAAGCCACCAUCCUAGCUCCCUAAUGUUGUAGUGGAGUAGGCUGAAGAUUACAGACCUUGUUGUAAUGGAGCAGAUCAAGCUAUAAUUGCAGAAGAACAUAUUAAAGCCACAAACCUCAACUCUCUAAAGUUGCAGUGGAAUAGCUUAAAGCUACAAGCAGUCGUAGUGGAGUAGAUCAAAGCAAUAGUCCCUUUACCUCUGAAGAUGCAGUUGGUUAGAAAGAGGCUACUUGAAGAAAAGAAGCGCCAAGAGAAGUCGAGACUCGUCAGGCCCUGGCAAAUUUGGCCCUUUUUUAGUCUUUACUCCAUUCUCAUUACACGACAAUGAGCAAAGAGGGGCAGCUGUAAUGGGCCAAAUAUGCUCGGGCCCAACAACCAAAGAAUAAUCCCAAAACAAAAAAUAAUAUAUAGUCAUUAAAUGUCUAUUUACAGACUUUGGCCCAAUACAUACCCUAGACCAAAUAACUAAAAUCCCACGGCCCACGGACUGACCCAAUACCCGAAAUGAGCCCAAAUGGCCGAGAAAUUUUAGAAACCCUAGGGUUCCUUUCUUUCUCUUGCGCCGCAACAGCAACCUCCCUACACCUUCGCCUCUGUACUCCUCACGCUAAGCGCCAGCAUGACCCCCGUACACGCACGUGCACCCGUACCUGCAAGAAGGAAACAAAAACAACAGCGAAUAGAAGCAAAGACAUAUUGUAUAUUUUCGGUUUAUUUUUCUUUUCUUUCGGCUAUAAAAGCCCAACUUUUAGUCUUUGUAAAGGUUACGAACGCACAUUUACGCAUACAGAUAUUGAAUACAAAGCAAGAAAAACAGAGGAAGGUGAUUUUCCUUUCUUUGAAUCUCCGGAUUUGUUGCAUUUUUUCUCUUGAUCUAUUCCUUUCGACUUUAUUUUUUUCAUUUUUCGCAUCU
RNAcentral lists this long non-coding RNA (12202 nucleotides) under Gossypium barbadense (sea-island cotton). RNAcentral describes it as "long non-coding RNA (GBAR_LNC004210)". The record is from RNAcentral. Lineage: Eukaryota; Viridiplantae; Streptophyta; Magnoliopsida; Malvales; Malvaceae.